Molecule: ribosomal RNA, 308 nt
Filed under: uncultured bacterium
Lineage: Bacteria
Description: bacterial SSU rRNA
Rfam family: Bacterial small subunit ribosomal RNA
Source: RNAcentral
GACGAACGCUGGCGGCGUGCUUAACACAUGCAAGUCGAACGGAAGUUAAGUUUUCGGAUUUAACUUUAGUGGCGAACGGGUGAGUAACGCGUGAGGAACCUGCCUUUCAGUGGGGGACAACAGUUGGAAACGACUGCUAAUACCGCAUGAUACUAUUGAGGGACAUCCCUUAAUAGUCAAAGCUUUAUGUGCUGAAAGAUGGCCUCGCGUCUGAUUAGCUGGUUGGUGAGGUAACGGCUCACCAAGGCGACGAUCAGUAGCCGGACUGAGAGGUUGGCCGGCCACAUUGGGACUGAGACACGGCCCAG